Molecule: ribosomal RNA, 120 nt
Filed under: Bison bison bison
Lineage: Eukaryota; Metazoa; Chordata; Mammalia; Artiodactyla; Bovidae
Source: RNAcentral
GGCUCCGGCCCUAUCAGCCUGAAUGCGCCCGAUCUCGUCUGAUCUCGGAAGCUAAGCAGGGUCGGGCCUGGUUAGUAUCUUGGAUGGGAGACCACCUGGGAAUCCCGGGUGCUCGAGGCU